RNAcentral lists this long non-coding RNA (2795 nucleotides) under Bemisia tabaci. RNAcentral describes it as "lncRNA ENSSSA3NGG008284". Lineage: Eukaryota; Metazoa; Arthropoda; Insecta; Hemiptera; Aleyrodidae. The record is from RNAcentral.
UUAAAAAGUUUUAUAAAAAAAUUUUAAUGGCUCAAUGUUUGCCACUGUAUGCAUUUUACUUAUUUUCUUCCCCUCUAGUAUGCUCUAGUUUCGGUAACUUUAGUUAAUGUCCAUAAAUAACUUUGAUCAUCAAAAUCAACCAGAAGUAAAUCAGUAAAUGGAUUUUUUGUUUCAAAUUUGUGGUAAAACUCAAUUUAGUUUAACUGGUUUUUCACCUGUAAACCUCUUUUUUGAGAAUUAUCUUGCAUUAGGUAGAUAACUGCACAUUACAAGCCUUUCAGAUUGAUUAGAAACUCUAAUUUCGUUAUUUAUUGAUUUGUUUUUCAGAAAGCUAUAAUAAACGAAGUGGCCAAGAAGCACGGCCCCACAGCAUAUUACCAAGCAGUCAAAGAUGAAAUGAGAAGCCUUUCCUCCGACGAUGACUCUGACAAUGAUUUGUCCAUAUGGGACCUCCCUCUCAUACAGUAUGAGAAUCAACUUCACCCUCUCAGGAACAAAAUGAUUACGCUAGAUAUGGAAGUAGAACGGCGCAACUUGCUGGCUCAAAACAAACGACAUGCGGUGAUUUGGAGUAGUCCCAUCAAAAACCCAAACGUUGAUGAGAGAUCGUGCGGUCCCUACGAUUUCCGUAAACUUCUCAGACCUACAGAGCACCCACCCACAGAAUCUUUGCGUAGAAGGCUCGACGCACGAACUCGACUUCAAAAUCUUAAAGCAUGUAAUGAUUUUAGCAUACCAAUUGUCAAAUCAUAAUUUUUGACCAUCGCAUGAUUUUUAUAAACUAUUUUUACCGAAGCAAUAAUUUUCAUUUGAAGUCCUAUUGUUUAUGUGUAAGUAUCGGAAGUUCUCUUCUUUUGAAAUAUCUUGAUACAUUUGCAGAAUCAGCUGUUAAACUGCAUUUAAUGUGAUUUGUCAUUAUUGUGUCUUGAAACUCAUGAUCUAAUCUAUUCAGUGGAAUCGAAAAAAUCUCUUACCUUUGAUAAAUCGAAAAGCCUCUAGCCCGUUUAACUUUUGAGAAGCAAAAAUGGACACCUUUAGGCAGAAAAAGUCAAUUUUAUAGGAAAUACAUUGCAAAUUGACUUCUGCAUUAGGAUGCCUAAUUAAAUGUGGGAUCAGUUGUGCUUACUGGAAAAUGUUUCUCUUUUUUCCAUUUUUUCUGCAUCAUCAAGUUUCAAAAUACAUAGCAAAGGAGCCAUCUAGUGGGUUUUUGUUCAGCACUGGAAGUAUUUUUAUAUACCUAAUACACUUUACCUUGCUGUAAGCUGAAAGUCUUGCUGCACACACAGCGGGAUUAAACAUUUUUUGACACUCCAACUCUCCAGCUUUUUGAUGAAUUUUAGUAACAAAUUCAAUGAAAGGUUUAAAUUUUCGAAUUUUUGAAUAUCUUGAAAGGUUUGACUUUUGUUCAAGCUAUUAAAUUUAAGGUGCCUAGUCAUUCAAUGAUGUGCUUGUAAUUAUUGGAUCUCAUGUCUUUUUUGUAAAUAUUGUUGGAAAGAGAGUAAUAUUUUGCGAUAAAAUAGAAUAGUAUGUAAGGUUUAAGACUAAUUUGUUUUCAAAUUUCAAGUAUGCUCUCAAAUUAAAAGUUGAUUUAUAUUAAUUAUGUUAUUCUGUUGAGAAUAAAUGCUUCACAGUUAUCAUAAGGCAUUUCAUUCUAUUAUCCCUUGCCCUAAGUCAGAAUUUCAGUAAGUAAAUAAUUAAUAGAGACCAUAGAAUAUUUUAUGGAAAUUUUGUGUGAUUCCAGACAAAAUUUCCGGCAAUAUUCUCAAGUAGAUACCUACCUAGCACGGCGCAACGACAAUCCUGAAAUAAAUUGCAAUAUUUUACAUCAUUGGGUCAAUAAAAUGAGUUCUAUGUCUCAGAAAGAUGGAAAAUUUGUAAUGCGGAAAAAGAACUAUCCCAAUAAAUACAAAUCUCAACAAUAGGAGUCCUUUCAAUGAGUAGUUAGGUCAUAGCAAUAUACACAACACUCUUUCAUGGUGGCAAUAAUUUUACUCAUGUAAUCACAAUUAAGUAAUCACAAUCUACUUUUCUACCAUGCUAACGUUGUCUCUCAUAUCAGAUAUGGUCUGAUUCUGUGGGGUCGUAGCGUCGAUGCUCCUGAUGUUUUUAUUCAACAAAAAAAAUUAUUAAGGAUAAUGUUUAAUAGACCUUUAAAUUCCCCCUGCCGCCAGCUAUUCAUCCAGAAGGAGCUCCUUACCCUUCCUUCUAUCUAUAUUUUUGAGUGCAUUAAAUUCUCCAUCUUCUCUAAAUUAAUUACGCCUUUAGAUCUCUAUCCCUCCCACUCUUAUAAUAGCAGAUACAAAAGCAUAAAAAAUUCUAAGAUCAGACUAACUUCAACAAUGCGCAAUGUAAAGUAUUCUUCUAUCCAAUUAUUUAAUGCCUUGCCUUGGGAACUAAAAUCUCUUUUCGUGAAGGCCGAGUUCAAUAUUUUCUAAGUAAGCUCCUGGAGCAUCUCCUAAAAAAUGCUUUCUACAGUAUCGAUGAACUGCUGAAUGGAAUAACCCCGGCCCCCCUCCUGGUUGAAUAGCUGACUCUGCCUCUCUUGUUACUACAAUAUUCUGUGCUCUCUGAUUGUUAUAAAUUUAAUUACUUUUUGUAAACUCUAAAACUUUAUUGUACCUGAAUUGACUUAUACUAUAGCUUCACGGCUCCUGUGUAUCAAAAUGUAAUAAAUAAAUAAAUAAAUAAAUAAAUAAAUUAAUUACCACUUUUGCUGUGUGGGGAGUGGUUAAAAGUACUUAAAAGUGACAUUCAAGUCCUUUAAGAUUUUCGUCUCAUGGCAACUUCACAAAGCA